UACGAAGGGGGCUAGCGUUGCUCGGAAUCACUGGGCGUAAAGCGCCCGUAGGCGGGGUUCCAUGUCAGGGGUGAAAGCCUGGGGCUCAACUCCAGAAUUGCCUUUGAAACGGGGACGCUUGAGUCCGAGAGAGGAUGGCGGAAUUCCUAGUGUAGAGGUGAAAUUCGUAGGUAUUAGGAAGAACACCGGUGGCGAAGGCGGCCAUCUGGCUCGGUACUGACGCUCAGGUUCGAAAGCGUGGGGAGCAAACAGG
This 253-nucleotide ribosomal RNA is filed under the name uncultured bacterium. Its description in RNAcentral is "partial 16S ribosomal RNA". It matches the Rfam family "Bacterial small subunit ribosomal RNA", at positions 524 to 776 of the family's 1533-position model. The record is from RNAcentral.